GCCGGGCUCAGUCUGGGAAAGGAAGCAGGCUGUUGCACAAUCCAAUUAGCUCUGAGUUGCACCGAUAAGAAAACUGGAUCAGAUCACACAGAGGCUUUUUGUGACCAGUUGUGCAUCUGUUAGUUGGCUGGUAAUCCAUUUGAAGCAUCCUCAGGACAGGUUCUAAUCAAGGCUUUUACCAGGGAUCCACAAAAACACAACAUUGCUUCGAACAGCAACGUAAAAGCUGAGAUGUUGACUGCAUGCUUGCUGGCACUUAUCUUCAUCUGGACAGGAAUGGCUGCGAAAUUUGUUGCUCCACCAUGUGACCGGCACAUGUUGGAUAGCGGUUUUAACAAGUGCCUGUCAGACUUCAACAAGAGCAUGGAGACAAGUGGCUACCUGGACAGCUGCCCAUGGCCUACUGUGAAAGAUGUCUACAACACACUGAAGAGUUGCACGGAUAAAUUGGCUUCUGUAUCUUGGUGUCGGGGUCACAGAUUUCUGGUAGAUACGUUCUUCUUGGAGGUUCAUGAGAUGUUCUUUAAGCUCUGUGGACAGGUCCAUGACCCCCCACUCACCACUUUGGUUAUGUUAAUAGCACCUGUUAUCAUUGCCACACUCUUAAUACCAAUUGUCUGCAUUUAUCUCACCACCUGUAACACGGAGAUGCCCAGCACUUUGGGGCUCUGA
RNAcentral lists this long non-coding RNA (672 nucleotides) under Cottoperca gobio. RNAcentral describes it as "lncRNA (ENSCGOG00000023207.1)". The record is from RNAcentral. Lineage: Eukaryota; Metazoa; Chordata; Actinopteri; Perciformes; Bovichtidae.